This 492-nucleotide ribosomal RNA is filed under the name uncultured bacterium. Its description in RNAcentral is "partial 16S ribosomal RNA". It matches the Rfam family "Bacterial small subunit ribosomal RNA", at positions 29 to 507 of the family's 1533-position model. The record is from RNAcentral.
AGUGAACGCUGGCGGUAGGCCUAACACAUGCAAGUCGAACGGCAGCACAGUAAGAGCUUGCUCUUACGGGUGGCGAGUGGCGGACGGGUGAGGAAUACAUCGGAAUCUACUUUUUCGUGGGGGAUAACGUAGGGAAACUUACGCUAAUACCGCAUACGACCUACGGGUGAAAGCAGGGGAUCUUCGGACCUUGCGCGAUUGAAUGAGCCGAUGUCGGAUUAGCUAGUUGGCGGGGUAAAGGCCCACCAGGGCGACGAUCCGUAGCUGGUCUGAGAGGAUGAUCAGCCACACUGGAACUGAGACACGGUCCAGACUCCUACGGGAGGCAGCAGUGGGGAAUAUUGGACAAUGGGCGCAAGCCUGAUCCAGCCAUACCGCGUGGGUGAAGAAGGCCUUCGGGUUGUAAAGCCCUUUUGUUGGGAAAGAAAAGCAGCAGGCUAAUACCCCGCUGUUCUGACGGUACCCAAAGAAUAAGCACCGGCUAACUUCGUG